UCAGAUUUAAUUUUAGUACAUCCGACCAACCCUGAGAAGACAAAACUGAUUUUUCUUUUGACGGAAAAGACAAAUUUGAUUUGACUUCACUACAUCCGAUCAAAUUCUGACAGCUACCUAUUUAGACCCGUACACAGCCCAUCAUGCAACACCCUUCUCCGAUCUACAUGAAAUCAGGACAUGCAAUACAUGCCCAAAGUUUAGAACAUUCUAUUUUGCUGUCUAGCCACAAUCUAUAUGAACUUAGCUGGAACAGGCUACAGAAUAUUCGCACAUACAAUGGAACCAAAGAAAAAAAACAUAGCUAGAUUAAAAAUAUGUAACUGAAGAAACAAAGAAAUACCGGACGGCAACACAGACACACAUGGCCACAAGAAGCGGAGCUUCCACCGGAACUGAUAGUGCGAGGAGCGCACUCCUCUGCCUCGCCCUCGGCCUCCGGGUGCAACCUGAUCCACCCCUCUAUGUCUCUACCAGAUGGCGACGGCCGAACUGCACGGUGAGACAGAGCAGGCAGCAACCGCACGGCGCCCCUCGACGCGUAGAACCGUGAUGCUCCAGCGGAACGCUCAAUCUGGGAGAGGAGGAGGAGUGUAGGAAGAGAGAGGGUCGAGAGAUUGUCCCUCCAUGAAUGCCUGCUCUCCUUACUGGACUUGUGAGGCAUCGCCUCGACAAAAGAAACAAGGGAGAGAUGUCCCCCUCAUAGCCCCUGCAUCAGCGCGCAUGUGCUCCAGCUCCGGCCCUGACAUGCAGUGAAGGAAAGUCCGGUCUGAGAUGCAACGUCUUCCGUCAGAUACAUCACCCGGCCCAGCCUCGUCGACGCGCCAAGCACGUCUGUAGAACGACAAAGUUGUGAUCGGAGCACCGAUUAGCUUCACGAUAUCAAGACAGUCGCAAAAGAAAUACAAAUACCUGCGAUCUGCGAACAGAAGUUAGACGUCGAAGUCGAGGGCGCGGCGGCGAUGGCCGGCAUCCUCGUACUUGCGUACGCUCUCGUGCGAGGCGUCACCGUCAUCGAAGCAGAGCGCCACCAUCGACUCCGGCAGUUGCGCUACCGCAUCUGCGUUUAGCCAAGCGCAUGUAAGAUCGCGGCGCUGCAGCACAAUCUCGUCCAGUCCAGUCGGUGGUCCAUGUCGCCGCACCUCCGCAUGUGCUCUGGCGGUGUCAGCGACCGACAAUCGUACACACCCGUCGUGCUGCCGCCGCCGUUCUUCGAGUCGCCAUGGAAGGCCACAGAUAGUAGGAUCCUUCGACUGCAUGAACCGAAGCACGAACAUCACACACAGGCACAAACAGCCCAAUCGCAGGCGACACACCGCGAACUCCGCUAGGCCGCGCAGCGCCGCAAUCACAUGUGAGUUGUGCCGAUGCCCACCAGAACGGGCCACGUGCACCGCUGCGACACACUAUGUGAGCCCCUCCAUGGCCUCGUGCUCCCGCCACAGUGUCGCCCGAGCGGCCGUGCCCCGCGCUGGCCGUCGCCCUAGCUGGGGAGCGCGAGCUCUGAUGCCACGCCGCGCCCCCGGGAGCUCACUAACCGCUGUCCGCCAGCGCCACCACUUCAGACCACAUAGGCCGGAGGCCUCCUGCAACUGCAACCUCCAUUCGUUGUUGCGCCUGCAGCUAGCGACGUGCCUCCUGCCCCAGAUCGACGCCCAGGCAGAGAAGAAGACGCACACAAUAGAAAGAAGGGAAGAAGGCCUCGCUGGUGAAACUCACCUCGCAAAGGCCUCCGCUCCGAAGGCCUCCCCGAGAAGACAGGCAAGAAUGUGAGACCGGAACACCUUCCGAAGGUACACGCUGGUCCGGCAAAACACCGGAAGCAGCAGCACGGCCAGAACCACCGCGCCGGCCAACUAAAGCCCACCGCUAGCGAGGAGGCCGACCGGGACGACGCGAUCGAUUACGACCGGACGAAGAGGCGACCAUGGAAUUAAUGUAUCAGACACCGAUGAAGA
RNAcentral lists this long non-coding RNA (1958 nucleotides) under Triticum aestivum (bread wheat). Its description in RNAcentral is "long non-coding RNA (TAES_LNC012229)". Lineage: Eukaryota; Viridiplantae; Streptophyta; Magnoliopsida; Poales; Poaceae. The record is from RNAcentral.